This 463-nucleotide ribosomal RNA is filed under the name uncultured bacterium. RNAcentral describes it as "bacterial SSU rRNA". It matches the Rfam family "Bacterial small subunit ribosomal RNA", at positions 28 to 507 of the family's 1533-position model. The record is from RNAcentral.
GAUGAACGCUGGCGGCGUGCAUAACACAUUCAAGUCGAACGGAGACGGGGCUUCGGCCCCUGAUCAGUGGCGGACGGGUGAGUAACGCGUGAGUAACCUGCCUAUACGUGUGGAAUGACACAGGGAAACUUGUGCUAAUACCGCAUAACAUGUAAUGAUCGCAUGAUUGAUACAUCAAAGAGCAAUUGCGUAUAGAUGGACUCGCGUCUGAUUAGCUAGUUGGUGGGGCAACGGCCUACCAAGGCGACGAUCAGUAGCCGAACUGAGAGGUUGAACGGCCACAUUGGAACUGAGAAACGGUCCAGACUCCUACGGGAGGCAGCAGUGGGGAAUAUUGGGCAAUGGACGAAAGUCUGACCCAGCGACGCCGCGUGAGGGAAGAAGGUCUUCGGAUUGUAAACCUCUGUUGUAAGGGAAGAAGAAAGUGACGGUACCUUACGAGGAAGCCACGGCUAACUACGUG